Long non-coding RNA from Protopterus annectens (West African lungfish), 268 nucleotides. RefSeq lists it as uncharacterized. NCBI's taxonomy places the organism in Eukaryota, Metazoa, Chordata, Ceratodontiformes, Protopteridae. The record is from RefSeq and is a predicted model, not a curated record. The transcript has 3 exons.
GUAACCUUUUGAUGGAUGUGUCUAUUACUCAACAACUCCAUCUUACAUGACAGACAUAUAGAUUAAGAAGACAAUGAAGGUCGAACUGCAGGCUGCUAAUCAGGAUCUGUGACUAUCAUCUUUUCCAGGAUAAACUGAUGGACCUUAUUCAGUUAUACAAGAGGACAUGCAACGUCCAUUACUAUUCUUUCAAAUGGGAUUUCAUUACAGAGAUUUUCUCCCUGUGCCUGUGCUGAAAAUGGUUAAAAAUAUCUGGUCGGACCUUCCC